RNAcentral lists this ribosomal RNA (253 nucleotides) under uncultured bacterium. RNAcentral's name for it is "partial 16S ribosomal RNA". It matches the Rfam family "Bacterial small subunit ribosomal RNA", at positions 524 to 776 of the family's 1533-position model. The record is from RNAcentral.
UACGUAGGGCGCAAGCGUUGUCCGGAAUUAUUGGGCGUAAAGAGCUCGUAGGCGGUCUGUCGCGUCUGCCGUGAAAACCCGAGGCUUAACCUCGGGCUGGCGGUGGAUACGGGCAGACUAGAGGUAGGUAGGGGAGAAUGGAAUUCCCGGUGUAGCGGUGAAAUGCGCAGAUAUCGGGAGGAACACCGGUGGCGAAGGCGGUUCUCUGGGCCGAUACUGACGCUGAGGAGCGAAAGCGUGGGGAGCGAACAGG